GUGUAUUUGGAAAUAUCCCUAAUACAGGAUCACUUGGAUCCGUCGGCGAUGACGAGCGCGAAAGAAUGCGAAAAGUCCUCACGGAAUGCUCUAAUUAUGAGAUAAUCUCAUGGAUACUCCCUGGACUUAAGCAUAUCAUUAAGGGAAGGAAAAGAAACUAACUAGGAUUCCGUUAGUAGUGGCGAAUGAACACGGAAGAGCUCCAAUGGUAAAGCCUAAGUGCUGUUGUAAUGUAGCCUCCGAAAACAUUCUGGAAAGGAUGACCACAGUGGGUGAUAGUCCCAGAGGAGGAUGUAAAGAAUAGAGUAGUGCUGCUUGGUAGUGCAGUAUGAAGAGGAGGUAGAAACUUCUAAAGCUAAAUACAGACGGAUACCGAUAGAGAAGAAGUAGUGCGAACGAAAGUUGAAAAGAUCUCAUCUAGAGAAUGAAAAGUGAAAGUAUUAGGGCGUAAGCUGAUGACAUCAGACCCGUAUUGAAACACGGACCAAGGAGACUUUGAGUAUAGCGAGGCGAAGGAUGUGAAGUCCCCACCCGCGAGAAAUCUACAAGUUAUACUGAUAGGACCCGAAAGGCAGUGAACUAUACCUGCUCUGCUUGACGCCACGGCAAACCGUGGUUGAGGAGCUAAGUCGUAUUGAUGUUCAACUCAUUGACAGGAAGUGGGUAUAGGGGCGAAAGACCAAUCGAACUGCCUGGUAGCUGGUUCCGGCCGAAAUGUCUCUCAGGACAGCGGUGUCUGCGAAUAGGAAGAUGCGGUAGAGAGGAUGUCGACCUUGUCAACAAACUCCGAAUGCGUCAUUGUGUUGCGAUUGCAUCCAACAUGAUCAUCUAUAAGACACUAGUGGGCGCCUGUGGAAGCAGCGCCAAAA
Molecule: ribosomal RNA, 869 nt
Organism: Enterocytozoon bieneusi H348
Lineage: Eukaryota; Fungi; Microsporidia; Enterocytozoonidae
Rfam family: Archaeal large subunit ribosomal RNA
Source: Rfam